This 118-nucleotide transfer RNA is filed under the name Daphnia pulex (common water flea). It matches the Rfam family "tRNA". From Rfam's summary of the family: Transfer RNA (tRNA) molecules are approximately 80 nucleotides in length. Their secondary structure includes four short double-helical elements and three loops (D, anti-codon, and T loops). Further hydrogen bonds mediate the characteristic L-shaped molecular structure. tRNAs have two regions of fundamental functional importance: the anti-codon, which is responsible for specific mRNA codon recognition, and the 3' end, to which the tRNAs corresponding amino acid is attached (by aminoacyl-tRNA synthetases). tRNAs cope with the degeneracy of the genetic code in two manners: having more than one tRNA (with a specific anti-codon) for a particular amino acid; and 'wobble' base-pairing, i.e. permitting non-standard base-pairing at the 3rd anti-codon position. The record is from Rfam by way of RNAcentral. Lineage: Eukaryota; Metazoa; Arthropoda; Branchiopoda; Diplostraca; Daphniidae.
GUCAGGAUGGCCGAGCGGUCUAAGGCGCCAGACUCAAGCCAACAGCUUGCCGGGACAUACGGUUGUAUAGAUUUCUGGUCUUCGAUAGAAGGCGUGGGUUCAAAUCCCACUUCUGACA